RNAcentral lists this long non-coding RNA (241 nucleotides) under Mytilus galloprovincialis (Mediterranean mussel). The record is from RNAcentral. Lineage: Eukaryota; Metazoa; Mollusca; Bivalvia; Mytilida; Mytilidae.
UACUUGAUACCAACGUGCUAUUUACAUGUGCGAUCGAAAAUGCAGGGGAAGGAAACUUGUCAAUUGUGUUUAUUUUUAAUCCAAAAUAAAAUAAGCCGCCGUAAAAUUAACCUUGGGUAAAUUCCUCAAAUUGAUGCAAGAGGCUUCUUUUUUUAAGCUAUAUUUUUAAUGACUUACACUUUUUACCAUUAUUCUCUUUCUUUCACUAUUCUUUAUUCCUUUUUUUCUUUGCCCGUUAUUC